CCAGCCCUGCGCAGCCGCCCGCCAAGCCGCCAGAGGACAAGCCGGACGCCGAAGGCUACGAGCGGACGAUUGCAGUACCUGUGUCGAGCUCUGCACAGGUGACUGGGACUGCAACCCCGGAGACCACUGUGUCAGCAAUGGGUGUGGCCAUGAGUGUGCUGCAGGGUAAGGACAGAUGAAGAGUUAUCUUAAGGAUCAUCUUUCUCUAAGAUCAUCAUCCCUUCCUGGAGUUCCUAUCUUCCAAGAUGUGACUGUCUAGAGUUCCUUGACUAGGAAGAUGGAUGAAAACAGCGAGCCUGUGGAUGGAGACUACGGGGGAUAUGGGAGGCAGGGAAGAGGGGUUGUUUCUUUUAAUAAAUCGUCAUUGUUAAAAGCA
Nomascus leucogenys (northern white-cheeked gibbon) is the source of this 376-nucleotide long non-coding RNA. RefSeq lists it as uncharacterized. NCBI's taxonomy places the organism in Eukaryota, Metazoa, Chordata, Mammalia, Primates, Hylobatidae. The record is from RefSeq and is a predicted model, not a curated record. The transcript has 3 exons.